GAAAGUGGGGGAGGGGUGAGUAACGCGUGAGGAACCUGCCUUGAAGAGGGGGACAACAGUUGGAAACGACUGCUAAUACCGCAUGAUGCAUAAGGGUCGCAUGAUUCUUAUGCCAAAGAUUUAUCGCUUCAAGAUGGCCUCGCGUCUGAUUAGCUAGUUGGCGGGGUAACGGCCCACCAAGGCGACGAUCAGUAGCCGGACUGAGAGGUUGAACGGCCACAUUGGGACUGAGAUACGGCCCAGACUCCUACGGGAGGCAGCAGUGGGGAAUAUUGGGCAAUGGGCGCAAGCCUGACCCAGCAACGCCGCGUGAAGGAAGAAGGCUUUCGGGUUGUAAACUUCUUUUAAGAGGGAAGAGCAGAAGACGGUACCUCUAGAAUAAGCCACGGCUAACUACGUGCCAGCAGCCGCGGUAAUACGUAGGUGGCAAGCGUUGUCCGGAUUUACUGGGUGUAAAGGGCGUGCAGCCGGGUCUGCAAGUCAGAUGUGAAAUCCAUGGGCUCAACCCAUGAACUGCAUUUGAAACUGUAGAUCUUGAGUGUCGGAGGGGCAAUCGGAAUUCCUAGUGUAGCGGUGAAAUGCGUAGAUAUUAGGAGGAACACCAGUGGCGAAGGCGGAUUGCUGGACGAUAACUGACGGUGAGGCGCGAAAGUGUGGGGAGCAAACAGGAUUAGAUACCCUGGUAGUCCACACUGUAAACGAUGAAUACUAGGUGUGCGGGGACUGACCCCAUGCGUGCCGCAGUAA
RNAcentral lists this ribosomal RNA (747 nucleotides) under uncultured Bacillota bacterium. RNAcentral describes it as "bacterial SSU rRNA". It matches the Rfam family "Bacterial small subunit ribosomal RNA", at positions 91 to 854 of the family's 1533-position model. Lineage: Bacteria; Bacillati; Bacillota. The record is from RNAcentral.